Molecule: ribosomal RNA, 472 nt
Filed under: uncultured bacterium
Lineage: Bacteria
Description: partial 16S ribosomal RNA
Rfam family: Bacterial small subunit ribosomal RNA
Source: RNAcentral
GACGAACGCUGGCGGCGUGCUUAACACAUGCAAGUCGAACGCUGAAGCUUGGUGCUUGCACUGGGUGGAUGAGUGGCGAACGGGUGAGUAAUACGUGAGUAACCUGCCCUUGACUCUGGGAUAAGCCUGGGAAACUGGGUCUAAUACUGGAUACGACAUGUCACCGCAUGGUGGUGUGUGGAAAGGGUUUUACUGGUUUUGGAUGGGCUCACGGCCUAUCAGCUUGUUGGCGGGGUAAUGGCUCACCAAGGCGACGACGGGUAGCCGGCCUGAGAGGGUGACCGGCCACACUGGGACUGAGACACGGCCCAGACUCCUACGGGAGGCAGCAGUGGGGAAUAUUGCACAAUGGGCGGAAGCCUGAUGCAGCGACGCCGCGUGAGGGAUGACGGCCUUCGGGUUGUAAACCUCUUUCAGCACGGAAGAAGCGAAAGUGACGGUACGUGCAGAAGAAGCGCCGGCUAACUACGUG